RNAcentral lists this ribosomal RNA (406 nucleotides) under uncultured bacterium. Its description in RNAcentral is "partial 16S ribosomal RNA". It matches the Rfam family "Bacterial small subunit ribosomal RNA", at positions 30 to 526 of the family's 1533-position model. The record is from RNAcentral.
AUUGAACGCUGGCGGCAGGCCUAACACAUGCAAGUCGAACGAGUGGCGGACGGGUGAGUAAUGUCUGGGAAACUGCCUGAUGGAGGGGGAUAACUACUGGAAACGGUAGAUAAUACCGCAUACCAUCGGAUGUGCCCAGAUGGGAUUAGCUAGUAGGUGGGGUAACGGCUCACCUAGGCGACGAUCCCUAGCUGGUCUGAGAGGAGGACCAUACACAUUGGAACUGGGAAACGGUCCAGAAUCCUACGGGAGGCAGCAGUGGGGAAUAUGGCACAAUGGGCGCAAGCCUGAUGCAGCCAUGCCGCGUGUAUGAAGAAGGCCUUCGGGUUGUAAAGUACUUUCAGCGGGGAGGCGUUACCCGCAGAAGAAGCACCGGCUAACUCCGUGCCAGCCGCCGCGGUAAUGC